CUGCGGCGGAUUAGGUAGUUGGUGGGGUAACGGCCUACCAAGCCGAUGAUCCGUAGGGGGCGUGAGAGCGUGGCCCCCCACACUGGCACUGAGACACGGGCCAGACUCCUACGGGAGGCAGCAGUGAGGAAUAUUGCACAAUGGGCGCAAGCCUGAUGCAGCAACGCCGCGUGAGGGACGAAGGCCUUCGGGUUGUAAACCUCUUUUCUGAGGGACGAGGAAGGACGGUACCUCAGGAAUAAGUCUCGGCUAACUACGUGCCAGCAGCCGCGGUAAAACGUAGGAGGCGAGCGUUAUCCGGAUUUACUGGGCGUAAAGCGCGCGCAGGUGGCUUCGUGAGUCGGACAUGAAAGCUCCUGGCUUAACUGGGAGAGGCUGUUCGAUACUGCGGGGCUUGAGGUUGGGAGAGGGACGCGGAAUUCCCGGUGUAGUGGUGGAAUGCGUAGAUAUCGGGAGGAACACCAGUGGCGCAAGCGGCGUCCUGGCCCACACCUGACGCUGAGGUGCGAAAGCGUGGGUAGCAAACAGGAUUAGAUACCCUGGUAGUCCACGCUGUAAACGAUGUCAACUGGGUGUCGGUAGUUUUACACUAUCGGUGCCGAAGCCAACGCG
RNAcentral lists this ribosomal RNA (612 nucleotides) under uncultured bacterium. Its description in RNAcentral is "bacterial SSU rRNA". It matches the Rfam family "Bacterial small subunit ribosomal RNA", at positions 231 to 859 of the family's 1533-position model. The record is from RNAcentral.